RNAcentral lists this ribosomal RNA (321 nucleotides) under uncultured bacterium. RNAcentral describes it as "bacterial SSU rRNA". It matches the Rfam family "Bacterial small subunit ribosomal RNA", at positions 159 to 507 of the family's 1533-position model. The record is from RNAcentral.
UGGUCUAAUACUUCAUAAUAUCCAUCUCGUAUGGAUUAAAGCUUUAUGCGCUUUGGGAGGGGCCUGCGUAACAUUAGCUUGUUGGUGAGGUAAAAGCUCACCAAGGCUUCGAUGUUUAACUGGUUUGAGAGGAUGACCAGUCACACUGGGACUGAGAUACGGCCCAGACUCCUACGGGAGGCAGCAGUAAGGAAUCUUCCACAAUGGGGCAACCCUGAUGGAGCAAUACCGCGUGCAGGAUGAAGCGUUUCGGCGUGUAAACUGCUUUUAUCACCGAAGAUUAUGACUGUAGGUGAAGAAUAAGGACCGGCUAACUACGUG